AUGGGCGCAGCCUGAUCCAGCCUGCCGCGUGCAGGAUGAAGGCCUUCGGGUUGUAAACUGCUUUUGUACGGAACGAAACGGCCUUUUCUAAUAAAGAGGGCUAAUGACGGUACCGUAAGAAUAAGCACCGGCUUAACUACGUGCCAGCAGCCGNGGGUAAUA
RNAcentral lists this ribosomal RNA (162 nucleotides) under uncultured bacterium. Its description in RNAcentral is "partial 16S ribosomal RNA". It matches the Rfam family "Bacterial small subunit ribosomal RNA", at positions 371 to 525 of the family's 1533-position model. The record is from RNAcentral.